AAUAGAUACCCGGGUAGUCCACCCCGUAAACGUUGGGAACUAGUUGUGGGGUCCAUUCCACGGAUUCCGUGACGCAGCUAACGCAUUAAGUUCCCCGCCUGGGGAGUACGGCCGCAAGGCUAAAACUCAAAGGAAUUGACGGGGACCCGCACAAGCGGCGGAGCAUGCGGAUUAAUUCGAUGCAACGCGAAGAGCCUUACCAAGGCUUGACAUACACGAGAACGGGCCAGAAAUGGUCAACUCUUUGGACACUCGUGAACAGGUGGUGCAUAGUUGUCGUCAGCUCGUGUCGUGAGAUGUUGGGUUAAGUCCCGCAACGAGCGCAACCCUCGUUCUAUGUUGCCAGCACGUAAUGGUGGGAACUCAUGGGAUACUGCCGGGGUCAACUCGGAGGAAGGUGGGGAUGACGUCAAAUCAUCAUGCCCCUUAUGUCUUGGGCUUCACGCAUGCUACAAUGGCCGGUACAAAGGGCUGCAAUACCGUGAGGUGGAGCGAAUCCCAAAAAGCCGGUCCCAGUUCGGAUUGAGGUCUGCAACUCGA
RNAcentral lists this ribosomal RNA (540 nucleotides) under uncultured bacterium. RNAcentral's name for it is "bacterial SSU rRNA". It matches the Rfam family "Bacterial small subunit ribosomal RNA", at positions 777 to 1315 of the family's 1533-position model. The record is from RNAcentral.